GAAACAGCACCUGAUCCUAUUCAGGCAACUCUUCUCCCUCCUUUUAAUUCCAGUACUUUGAUGAGUGGGUUCAUCCCAACCCUGGUCUCAGCGGAGGGCACUGACCCAGGCCUGACGAAUCAAUCAUUCCAUGCCUCUUGGCUACCGUGAUUGGCACAGUACUCAGAGAUGGCACGGGCUGGGCACAGAACUUGCAGGGAUGAUGAUGUUUCCAGGUCAGCCCGGAAAAGCCAGUGCAGCCAGUCAGACGUUUCUAGAAUGGUAGACUGCCAGUAUCACAGGGAGUCUGAUCUGAAGGGCUUCCAUCCUGGGCUGACGGACACGGAAAGUGAGUGCUGACAGUCUGCUCUGCGCUUUCCCAGAGAGAGUCCCCAGGAGCAAUAUGUAAUCAUCUAAUUAAAACAUCAAUUCUCAGCUGGAGAGAAGGAUGGAAAGAGGACAGGGGGAUGAUAAAGCAAGCACAGUCACGUGUCCACACAGACUCUCGGGGCGCACACAGGUGGUCACUGGAGAAAGCCUUUCAGCUUUGCCGUGUGUUUGAAAAUCCUUAUAGAUAAAUAUUUGGGAGAAUAAACUCUUAAUUUGAAUUUAUUAUUUCCUUCUUUCUUUUGCAAUGCCCAGUUUUUCCUAAGCCUCUCUUUGAUUAUUCAAGUUGCCAGCACCCGGGCAAUUACUUCCUGCAAACAAGUUGUCAGAAGGCGCAAAUAAAUUUUAGACCUAAUUUAAUUCUCAGUUUACUUGCUCAUGAAAAAAAAAAUCUUAAUUUCUCCAAACCACAUCAACCCUUGAUAUGCCAGUUAUGAUUUCUUUUCAAAAGCCGGCUGUGAAAUGCUAAGCCAAUCACUCAGAGACGGUCUGACUGAAUGAAUGACGGCUGGGGAAAGAAGGCCAUGUUCAGAGCAUCCGGGAUGAACGCCUCUAGGAUUGUGGGAGAAGACACUUCUGUGUUGUUGAGACACCAGUCUGCAGGGCUUGGUUACGCAGCCCAAGGACAGGAAUUCACAGAGUGACAGUGGAAGCGCAGAGGGUAGGUCUGCAGGCCCUGUUGCUGCUCGGAAGCCCCACGUGCCCUUGGUCUGCUCCUCCCUGGCCUUGGGGUGUGAGACCUGGGAUCCUUUUUGUUUAAGCUUCUGUUUCUUGAGCCUAAACAACCAACAGGUGGUCUCAGAGCAGAAGGCUGUGCCCAUCCAUUCACUCCUCUCUUCCUUCCUUCCUUCUGCUGCAUCCUGGAGAGUCAGGACCCAGCUCAGCCUCAAGUCUGACUGACAGUAUUAACAUCACUGAUAAAGAACAGAGAAGUCCUCAAGAGGAGUCCACUGUUUCAGCCGCACGCUUGCCACCUCAAGGUCAAAGGAGGGCUCUCCAGCACUGUCCGAGUGCAAGCAAGACACAGGGAGAAGAGCAAGUGCUGGUGGCGUCUGUCCCUUUUACUAGGAAAGCAAAAGCUGUCCUCAGAGCCACUGGGCAGAUUUUCAGUGACUUCUCAUCAAUGAGCAUUGUGGCAAACGGCUACAUCCAGGAAGUGGAUGUGCGAGGAAAGCUGGAAAAGAGCACAUCUAGCAUUUCUGCCUCUACACUGGAGAUGCCUUAGUUCCUACCGCAGCCAUGACAAAUUCCCAUAAACCAGAGGGGCUUGAAACAGCAGCAGUGUAUUCUCUCACAGCUCUGGAGCCUGGAAGCCCCAAACCGAGUUGUCAGUGGGGUGGGUUCCUUUUUAGAGGCUCUGAGGGAGAAUUUCCUCCUUGCCUCUCUCCCAGCUUCUGGUGGUUGCCAGCAAUCCUUGGCUCCUAGACACACCCCUCCCAUCUCUGCCUCUGUCGUCACAUGGCCUUCUCCCCGUGCCUCUUCUUCAAAGGACUCCAGGCACUGGGUUAGGUCCCAGCAUAAUCCAUCUAGACCUCAUCUUUGCUUGAUCACAUCUGCAAAGACCCUAUUUCCAAAGAAGGUCACAUUCACAGGUGCUGGGGGUUAGGACUUCAACACAUCUUCUGCGGGGACACAACUCACCCUAUGACACAGGUGGACAGGGAGAGAGGGUUUGGGGAGGGGUGUUGGGUUGGUCCCCAGGUGUGAUGCUUGGAGAUAUUGUGUCAAGA
Molecule: long non-coding RNA, 2096 nt
Organism: Equus caballus (horse)
Lineage: Eukaryota; Metazoa; Chordata; Mammalia; Perissodactyla; Equidae
Source: Ensembl